Molecule: ribosomal RNA, 301 nt
Filed under: uncultured bacterium
Lineage: Bacteria
Description: partial 16S ribosomal RNA
Rfam family: Bacterial small subunit ribosomal RNA
Source: RNAcentral
CAGUCGCCGCGGUAAUACAGAGGGUGCGAGCGUUAAUCGGAUUUACUGGGCGUAAAGCGUGCGUAGGCGGCUUUUUAAGUCGGAUGUGAAAUCCCUGAGCUUAACUUAGGAAUUGCAUUCGAUACUGGGAAGCUAGAGUAUGGGAGAGGAUGGUAGAAUUCCAGGUGUAGCGGUGAAAUGCGUAGAGAUCUGGAGGAAUACCGAUGGCGAAGGCAGCCAUCUGGCCUAAUACUGACGCUGAGGUACGAAAGCAUGGGGAGCAAACAGGAUUAGAUACCCCCGUAGUCCCUGUCUCUUAUAU